RNAcentral lists this ribosomal RNA (301 nucleotides) under uncultured bacterium. RNAcentral's name for it is "partial 16S ribosomal RNA". It matches the Rfam family "Bacterial small subunit ribosomal RNA", at positions 509 to 808 of the family's 1533-position model. The record is from RNAcentral.
CAGUCGCCACGGUAACACGUAGGUGGCAAGCGUUGUCCGGAAUUAUUGGGCGUAAAGGGCUCGCAGGCGGUUUCUUAAGUCUGAUGUGAAAGCCCCCGGCUCAACCGGGGAGGGUCAUUGGAAACUGGGAAACUUGAGUGCAGAAGAGGAGAGUGGAAUUCCACGUGUAGCGGUGAAAUGCGUAGAGAUGUGGAGGAACACCAGUGGCGAAGGCGACUCUCUGUCUGUAACUGACGCUGAGGAGCGAAAGCGUGGGGAGCGAACAGGAUUAGAUACCCGAGUAGUCCCUGUCUCUUAUACA